AGAGUUUGAUCCUGGCUCAGGAUGAACGCUGGCGGCGUGCUUAACACAUGCAAGUCGAACGAAGCACCUUGAUUCGAUUCUUCGGAUGAAGAUCUUGGUGACUGAGUGGCGGACGGGUGAGUAACGCGUGGGUAACCUGCCUCAUACAGGGGGAUAACAGUUAGAAAUGACUGCUAAUACCGCAUAAGACCACAGCACUGCAUGGUGCAGGGGUAAAAACUCCGGUGGUAUGAGAUGGACCCGCGUCUGAUUAGGUAGUUGGUGGGGUAACGGCCUACCAAGCCGACGAUCAGUAGCCGACCUGAGAGGGUGACCGGCCACAUUGGGACUGAGACACGGCCCAAACUCCUACGGGAGGCAGCAGUGGGGAAUAUUGCACAAUGGGGGAAACCCUGAUGCAUCGACGCCGCGUGAGCGAUGAAGUAUUUCGGUAUGUAAAGCUCUAUCAGCAGGGAAGAAAAUGACGGUACCUGACUAAGAAGCACCGGCUAAAUACGUGCCAGCAGCCGCGGUAAUACGUAUGGUGCAAGCGUUAUCCGGAUUUACUGGGUGUAAAGGGAGCGUAGACGGAGUGGCAAGUCUGAUGUGAAAACCCGGGGCUCAACCCCGGGACUGCAUUGGAAACUGUCAAUCUGGAGUACCGGAGAGGUAAGCGGAAUUCCUAGUGUAGCGGUGAAAUGCGUAGAUAUUAGGAGGAACACCAGUGGCGAAGGCGGCUUACUGGACGGUAACUGACGUUGAGGCUCGAAAGCGUGGGGAGCAAACAGGAUUAGAUACCCUGGUAGUCCACGCCGUAA
Molecule: ribosomal RNA, 797 nt
Filed under: uncultured bacterium
Lineage: Bacteria
Description: bacterial SSU rRNA
Rfam family: Bacterial small subunit ribosomal RNA
Source: RNAcentral